RNAcentral lists this ribosomal RNA (253 nucleotides) under uncultured bacterium. Its description in RNAcentral is "partial 16S ribosomal RNA". It matches the Rfam family "Bacterial small subunit ribosomal RNA", at positions 524 to 776 of the family's 1533-position model. The record is from RNAcentral.
UACAGAGAGUGCAAACGUUGUUCGGAAUUACUGGGCGUAAAGCGCGGGCAGGCGGCUCGAUGCGUCUGAUGUGAAAUCUCCUCGCUCAACGGGGAGAGGCCAUUGGAAACGGUCGAGCUGGAGGGCAGUAGAGGUAGGCGGAAUUCCGGGUGGAGUGGUGAAAUGCGUAGAGAUCCGGAGGAACACCAGAGGCGAAGGCGGCCUACUGGGCUGCACCUGACGCUGAGCCGCGAAAGCCAGGGGAGCGAACGGG